AGCGUACACGGUGGAUGCCCUGGCAGUCAGAGGCGAUGAAGGACGUGCUAAUCUGCGAUAAGCGUCGGUAAGGUGAUAUGAACCGUUAUAACCGGCGAUUUCCGAAUGGGGAAACCCAGUGUGWUUCGUCACACUAUCAUUAACUGAAUCCAUAGGUUAAUGAGGCGAACCGGGGGAACUGAAACAUCUAAGUACCCCGAGGAAAAGAAAUCAACCGAGAUUCCCCCAGUAGCGGCGAGCGAACGGGGAGCAGCCCAGAGCCUGAAUCAGUGUGUGUGUUAGUGGAAGCGUCUGGAAAGGCGCGCGAUACAGGGUGACAGCCCCGUACACAAAAAUGCACAUGCUGUGAGCUCGAUGAGUAGGGCGGGACACGUGGUAUCCUGUCUGAAUAUGGGGGGACCAUCCUCCAAGGCUAAAUACUCCUGACUGACCGAUAGUGAACCAGUACCGUGAGGGAAAGGCGAAAAGAACCCCGGCGAGGGGAGUGAAAAAGAACCUGAAACCGUGUACGUACAAGCAGUGGGAGCACGCUUAGGCGUGUGACUGCGUACCUUUUGUAUAAUGGGUCAGCGACUUAUAUUCUGUAGCAAGGUUAACCGAAUAGGGGAGCCGAAGGGAAACCGAGUCUUAACUGGGCGUUAAGUUGCAGGGUAUAGACCCGAAACCCGGUGAUCUAGCCAUGGGCAGGUUGAAGGUUGGGUAACACUAACUGGAGGACCGAACCGACUAAUGUUGAAAAAUUAGCGGAUGACUUGUGGCUGGGGGUGAAAGGCCAAUCAAACCGGGAGAUAGCUGGUUCUCCCCGAAAGCUAUUUAGGUAGCGCCUCGUGAAUUCAUCUCCGGGGGUAGAGCACUGUUUCGGCAAGGGGGUCAUCCCGACUUACCAACCCGAUGCAAACURCGAAUACCGGAGAAUGUUAUCACGGGAGACACACGGCGGGUGCUAACGUCCGUCGUGAAGAGGGAAACAACCCAGACCGCCAGCUAAGGUCCCAAAGUCAUGGUUAAGUGGGAAACGAUGUGGGAAGGCCCAGACAGCCAGGAUGUUGGCUUAGAAGCAGCCAUCAUUUAAAGAAAGCGUAAUAGCUCACUGGUCGAGUCGGCCUGCGCGGAAGAUGUAACGGGGCUAAACCAUGCACCGAAGCUGCGGCAGCGACGCUUAUGCGUUGUUGGGUAGGGGAGCGUUCUGUAAGCCUGYGAAGGUGUGCUGUGAGGCAUGCUGGAGGUAUCAGAAGUGCGAAUGCUGACAUAAGUAACGAUAAAGCGGGUGAAAAGCCCGCUCGCCGGAAGACCAAGGGUUCCUGUCCAACGUUAAUCGGGGCAGGGUGAGUCGACCCCUAAGGCGAGGCCGAAAGGCGUAGUCGAUGGGAAACAGGUUAAUAUUCCUGUACUUGGUGUUACUGCGAAGGGGGGACGGAGAAGGCUAUGUUGGCCGGGCGACGGUUGUCCCGGUUUAAGCGUGUAGGCUGGUUUUCCAGGCAAAUCCGGAAAAUCAAGGCUGAGGCGUGAUGACGAGGCACUACGGUGCUGAAGCAACAAAUGCCCUGCUUCCAGGAAAAGCCUCUAAGCAUCAGGUAACAUCAAAUCGUACCCCAAACCGACACAGGUGGUCAGGUAGAGAAUACCAAGGCGCUUGAGAGAACUCGGGUGAAGGAACUAGGCAAAAUGGUGCCGUAACUUCGGGAGAAGGCACGCUGAUAUGUAGGUGAAGUCCCUCGCGGAUGGAGCUGAAAUCAGUCGAAGAUACCAGCUGGCUGCAACUGUUUAUUAAAAACACAGCACUGUGCAAACACGAAAGUGGACGUAUACGGUGUGACGCCUGCCCGGUGCCGGAAGGUUAAUUGAUGGGGUUAGCGCAAGCGAAGCUCUUGAUCGAAGCCCCGGUAAACGGCGGCCGUAACUAUAACGGUCCUAAGGUAGCGAAAUUCCUUGUCGGGUAAGUUCCGACCUGCACGAAUGGCGUAAUGAUGGCCAGGCUGUCUCCACCCGAGACUCAGUGAAAUUGAACUCGCUGUGAAGAUGCAGUGUACCCGCGGCAAGACGGAAAGACCCCGUGAACCUUUACUAUAGCUUGACACUGAACAUUGAGCCUUGAUGUGUAGGAUAGGUGGGAGGCUUWGAAGUGUGGACGCCAGUCUGCAUGGAGCCGACCUUGAAAUACCACCCUUUAAUGUUUGAUGUUCUAACGUKGACCCGUAAUCCGGGUUGCGGACAGUGUCUGGUGGGUAGUUUGACUGGGGCGGUCUCCUCCUAAAGAGUAACGGAGGAGCACGAAGGUUGGCUAAUCCUGGUCGGACAUCAGGAGGUUAGUGCAAUGGCAUAAGCCAGCUUGACUGCGAGCGUGACGGCGCGAGCAGGUGCGAAAGCAGGUCAUAGUGAUCCGGUGGUUCUGAAUGGAAGGGCCAUCGCUCAACGGAUAAAAGGUACUCCGGGGAUAACAGGCUGAUACCGCCCAAGAGUUCAUAUCGACGGCGGUGUUUGGCACCUCGAUGUCGGCUCAUCACAUCCUGGGGCUGAAGUAGGUCCCAAGGGUAUGGCUGUUCGCCAUUUAAAGUGGUACGCGAGCUGGGUUUAGAACGUCGUGAGACAGUUCGGUCCCUAUCUGCCGUGGGCGCUGGAGAAYUGAGGGGGGCUGCUCCUAGUACGAGAGGACCGGAGUGGACGCAUCACUGGUGUUCGGGUUGUCAUGCCAAUGGCACUGCCCGGUAGCUAAAUGCGGAAGAGAUAAGUGCUGAAAGCAUCUAAGCACGAAACUUGCCCCGAGAUGAGUUCU
This 2773-nucleotide ribosomal RNA is filed under the name Escherichia coli. RNAcentral describes it as "bacterial LSU rRNA". The record is from RNAcentral. Lineage: Bacteria; Pseudomonadati; Pseudomonadota; Gammaproteobacteria; Enterobacterales; Enterobacteriaceae.